This is a non-coding RNA of Caenorhabditis elegans, 21 nucleotides long. NCBI's taxonomy places the organism in Eukaryota, Metazoa, Nematoda, Chromadorea, Rhabditida, Rhabditidae. The record is from Ensembl.
UAGUCCAACGAGAUGUCAAGG